GGAAAUAAAAUAUUUUUUUUCCUUAAAUGUAGUAUAUUGUAAGUGAAGCCUAAUCUGUAGCAAAAUCCAAGUUUCUCUUUUUUUUUUUUUUUUUUUUUUAACUGUUUACAUUUCUUAUUGAGCAAUUGACACUUGCUCAUGCUGUGUUUUUUUUCCUGUAGUUUUUGUUUUGUUUUGUUUUGGUUGCUAAGUUUGAAAACUAGGAAACUUUUUUUUUUUUUUUGUGGGAGAGAGGGAGAAGCCCCUGGAAUUCAUUCAGGGCACAACUUUUCAGCAAAGUACUAAUGAUUUCCAGAUAUUUUAGUUUAGUGACAGUGAGAUGUUCGACUUGCAGGAAGUCCUGAGUGGUUGUCACUUUUAAGUUACUUUUUUUCAGUUAGUGUCUGAAGUUAGGCACCUAAAAUUAGACAUGUUCCAAACUCCAGCUUCCAGAGAUAUUUGCUGUAGAUGUAAGGUGCUUGUAACACAGGCAUAACUCAACAGCUGGCUACAUUCUUUUCUUCUUGCAUGGUUCAAGAUCCAAAAUAAAUGAGUGUAAUGCUGGAGUAUACUGCAAAUUCUGAGAAGAGAAAAAAAAAAAAAAGGGGAAAGGAAGAACAGCCACAACAGGAUAUUGUAGCUGUACACGUUUUAUUGGUGGCUUCUCUUCCUGCCAAGGUUCUGAAGGGAUAAAAAAAUAAGUCUGCAGCCCACAUAAAUGAAGGCGUUGUUACUGGGCAUUUCGGAGAUGCACAGCUACUUAGGGAAGAGCACAAGAAGAGUUGAGGUUUGCAACACCUGCCUGCAGAAGCAGGAAGCUGGUGGUGUUUGACAGCACCCGGGACAGAGAAGCAUUGUUACCUGCGUCUCUUCCACACGUACCGGGCAGUAAAUACACAGGCACAUUGUUUUCUUUUUUUUUUUUUUUUUUUUCCCCCCGACUCUAUUUCAAGCACUUGAAGUGGGCUUAGUUUAUUGCAGAACACCUGCUUCUGAAAUAUACCAUUUUAAGCUGGCUUUAAGUGGUAAACCAAAGAGUGGAGCACCAGGAAUUGUGGGUCAUUUUUGGCAAUCCUGCCUCUUACAGUGAAGUGGAAGUCCUGUAUCAUGGUCCUGAGACUCCUUUCUCCUUCUGUUAAUGCAUGGAGCAUUGCUACUGUUCAUCUUCCUAAGUCUACAGUGUGCAUUUCUGUGGCUAAGUUUAUUCAUCUCCAUUACUUUUGUAGGCAGUAGAAGGACCUGGUUCAGACUUGUAUUUUAGGACUCUAUGAAUUGCAACCUAAAAUUCCCUUUAUUCCCCAUUAACAAUAAAGGAAUUUUGAUGGGCUGGCUCCAAUACUGACAUCGGUGUUUGGAAAGAUAAAUUCUACACCUUCCUUUAGCAAAGUCCUUUCAUACAGUUUUAAAUCAUAUCCUAAUACGCUAUUUUUUUACAGUGCCUUUGUUUUAAGUUACUAAGAGAAUGAUUUAAAGUUUAAUACAUGAUGUUCCAGAUUUUAGAUGUGUAAGGGCCUAAUAAAUUCUUACAUAAUACC
Molecule: long non-coding RNA, 1514 nt
Organism: Cygnus olor (mute swan)
Lineage: Eukaryota; Metazoa; Chordata; Aves; Anseriformes; Anatidae
Exons: 2
Source: RefSeq, a predicted model, not a curated record